RNAcentral lists this non-coding RNA (21 nucleotides) under Mus musculus (house mouse). The record is from RNAcentral. Lineage: Eukaryota; Metazoa; Chordata; Mammalia; Rodentia; Muridae.
CGUUGGUGGUAUAGUGGUGAG